AAAGCAACUGCUCCGUGGGGGCUGCUGGCUUGAUGCUGGAUGUUGGGCAGCAUUGUGGCUUCUUAGCUAGUGACCAAGUUGAUGCAGGUAGGCUAAGGAGCAGGACAGAGGGAUCCGCGUGGUGCUGCACGCACGGAGAAAUUGUUUGGAAAGUAAGCAAAGAAAUGCCUUUGUGUCCCAGCGAUGCUCAAGUGUGCGUUCCGCCCCCGUGAUGUCCUCUGAGGCAGUUGGUGCCUGUUCUUCUGUCGCUUUUUGCCGUUGGGAAGUCCAGUAAUGCCGUGGAAUCCAAGCUGCGAGGCCUCCAGCACCAACCUUUUGGUUGGUUUCUUGCAUGACUCUGAAAUCUCUCUUGGUGUUGACACAAUUCUUUUUUUAAAGACAAAGGCAUGUUAUGGUAUAUCUCUGUACUUCUAAAAAGGAUUAGAAAGUAGGUCAUGAAAUACAGAUGAAAAAAUUAUGAAAGAAAACAAUAUUAUUUUUCUGGACCAAUAUCUUUUUUCUCUUAAAGUUCAUUUUUUUCUAUUUUAUAUUAAAGAUAAUGGCAAG
RNAcentral lists this long non-coding RNA (546 nucleotides) under Anser brachyrhynchus (Pink-footed goose). RNAcentral describes it as "lncRNA (ENSABRG00000005813.1)". Lineage: Eukaryota; Metazoa; Chordata; Aves; Anseriformes; Anatidae. The record is from RNAcentral.